This 12003-nucleotide long non-coding RNA is filed under the name Citrus x clementina. RNAcentral describes it as "Citrus clementina (C. clementina) long non-coding RNA (CCLE_LNC002907)". Lineage: Eukaryota; Viridiplantae; Streptophyta; Magnoliopsida; Sapindales; Rutaceae. The record is from RNAcentral.
CGGCAUUGGAAUAGUUCCAUACAGUCCUCUUGGUCGUGGAUUUUUCGGUGGCAAAGCUGUUGUGGAGAAUGUACCUGCAGAUAGCUUUUUGGUACUUUUUUCGGUCAAUGUUUAUCCGCAUCAUUUUGUUUCCUCAGUCAGUACUAUAUAAAUGUUUUAAACUAACAAAAGUAGUUUUACAGUUUCUUUUAAUGCUACUGUUUUAUAUAUCGUAGUAUAUAUGAAAAUGAUACGUGUGUUUGUUUUAUAAGCAUUUUCUUCCUAGGUUCAAAGGAGAGAACCUGGACAGGAACAAGAGUAUUUAUUUUCGCAUAGAGAACCUUGCCAAAAAGUACAAUUGCACUUCUGCUCAACUAGCCCUAGCAUGGGUUCUCGGACAGGGGGAUGAUGUCGUACCUAUUCCCGGUAACUUCUUUCUUUCGAGUUUGUGAUUCAUGUAGUGCCUUGAAGAAGUAUAUAGAGUUUAAAAAACCCAGUGGAUAAAAUGAUAUUACCAGCGAUAUUACUUACUGUUAAGUUGCUUCAAUUUUCAGGGACAACUAAGAUGAAAAACCUUGAUGACAAUAUUGACUCCUUGAGGAUUAAACUUACAAAAGAGGAUCUGAAAGAAAUUUCUGACGCUGUGCCCAUAGAAGAGGUAGCAGGAAACAGAGACCCGGAAGGCUUUGAUAAAGCAUCGUGGAAGUUUGCAAACACACCUCCAAAAGACUGCAAGGUUUGAACUUAAAAUAGUUCUGGAUGCUGCCUAUCUUACUUGGGGCUGGGAUGCAAUACUUUAUUCAAAUAAUGGCAGAUAAAUGCCAAAUUAUCUGUACAAUCUACUACUUGGCUAUCUGCCUAUUUGAUGUUAAACUUUGAUUAUUACGAUCUACUAUAUGUUUGGAAAUUUAGCAUGGCCAAUUUGUGAAAGGAAAAUACGCAUGUUUGAACUUUUCUAAGUUAAAGCUGAAUUCCAAGUUACUAUAAAAUCUUGCCAACUUGCUUUCCUUGAAAAUAAAGAUUAGAAAUAUCCAAAUUUUGGAUUGUAAUGAUUUUCCUGGAUUUUACUUCAUCAUAGUGUAGAUAUAUGUUGAAAUAUUUUCAGCCUUUUUGAGUUCCACGAAUGUGACAUGAAUGAAAUCUGUGAACCAUAUUUUAGCUCAAGCUGUUUCUCAACAAGACCUGGAGGACACUGGAUUGAAAAUAUAGUUUCUCAACAUACUACAUUGUCACUGCAACUUGAGUGGUUAAAUGAUAAAAGGUGAGUAUGUGUUGUUCAGAAAUAAGAAUAAUUGCAUAAAUUGUGAAGUUCACAAUACCAUUCAGGAGGCUAAAUUGACACAUUAAAAAACUUUCAAAUUCCUUCACCAACAAGGCACCAGUGGUCUUGUGGUAGAAUAAUACCCUGCCACGUAACAGACCCAGGUAUAGUAAUUAGCCCCACCUUCGAAUAAUUUUUAUUGUUGCCUUCUUUUGAUUAGUUCCAAAUCCUGCUUUAUUUUGUUAGUCCAUGGUACAAAGUACAAAACAGCAACACCAUUAACUCUCUUACGCCCUCCUUUAAUAAGAGUUAAGCUAAGCUACAAAGAGAGGAAAAGCUAACAGCUUUUCCAAAGAUGGCAGAAAAGAACAGAAUCCAAGUUCCAAGAGUGAAAUUUGGAUUUCCGAUUUGUAGUUUUCAUUUUUCUUUUUGUAUUUUUUUCCUUCAAUGCUGAUAAUUUGUUUUCUCUGACUGUGUUUUUGUGCUUUCACAGGUUUCAAAGCUGGGGUUUGGAUGCAUGAGCCUGAGCGGAGGUUACAAUUCUCGGGUCUCUGAAGAGGAUGGCAUCUCAAUAAUGAAGCAUGCUUUCAACAAAGGAAUCACUUUCUUUGAUACUGCUGAUAGAUAUGGACCAUAUAUACUAAUGAAAUUCUUCUUAGAAAGGUAAUGAUUAAGAAAAUGGAAUAAAAUGAAGUUAUCUUAUCAUGGAAUAACAUUUUAAAAGAAAAUCCAAAAUACAAAUAGGUUAUGUUUAUGCCAAAAAUUUAAAUAAAAAAAUAUAAAUUAGUAAUUAAAUUAACUUAACAAGGAUGAUGUUGCCGUAUUACACACAAAAAUAUAUUUUAUUUUGAUGAAUACUUAACGUUUGUAAAAUAAAUUAAAUUAAUUAGGAGUAAUAUGGACUUCUUAUUAUAAAAUAGCUUAAAUUGUUAGGGUAAGAGUUGAUUGUAGCAUUAUUAAAUUUAAAGGAGUAAGUAGUAUUUCUAACUUAUACUUGAGGAAGGAAUCUGUAAUUUUUCCAUGCAAAUAAGAAAUAUGUUUGUUUAAGGUAAUGGUAAAUAGCUACUCUUAGACAUUACUAAGAAAAUCAUAAGGUGGAAAUCAAAUCAUUGUUAAAAUUAUGUCAAUUUAUUUGGGGGGGAAAAAGUUCACUCCUUUCUAGUUUCUAGCCUUGAAGCAGUUGCCUAGGUUACAAGAUCAGCCACAAAGUUUGGGAUUACAGAAAUAGAUACCCCUGAGUAUGUACUCUGUUUUGUCGUGAAGCAAGCUUGAAGCACCUUGAUUUGAUUAUUAAUUGGUUUGACUUUCCUCUAAUCUUUUGGGUAAUUUCUAUAUAUGCUUUCACUAAAAACAAAUAAAUUUGCAAAGAAUACAUACAUAGAUAACUUUCUUUCAAAAUUAAAAAAAAAAAAAAAAAUGACCAACAAAGUGUUGGCUCCACUGGCAAUGGAGUUCCCUUAAGUGGCUUGACUGGGUUUGCUCCCCAGUUCGAGUCGCAGGGAAGUCGCCUUUGUUGGGAGAAUCUGUGCCUCCCGGUUCGAGCGGGGACUUCUAGUCUGAGUUGUGGUACGGGCUUAAAGGUGCCUCCCACAGUUGGGGCCCUCCCCAGGAUACCUCGUGAUUAAUAUAAAAAAAAAUGACAAGGAGAAAUUAUGAAUAUGAUGAUUCUUUAAAUAAAAAAUUUUACUGAUUUUCUAACAGCACAAAAUGCUUGAGAGGAAGAGAUUCUCAUAAAUCAAAUGUGAAAGGAUUAUGUUACCAUAAUAUAAAUAUGAAAAUGAAUUUUUCAUUUCUACUUAGAGCCUUGGGCCCAAACAAUUUUUUUUUUUCAAGUAUAAUACUUGAAUAGUUACAACAAAUGAUCGGACUAAUGACAUACACAAUACUUGAAUUUUCAGUAUAGAUUUAUAUUGAUGCAACAAAAUUGAUUCUCAUCUUCAUAGGCUAAGAAAUACAAAUCCAUUACUCAACUAAAAUUAUGGCGCAGAAGUUUUUGUUUUUGUUAAGGUUAAAAAAUGAGCAUAAAAGUAUACAUUUAACUGAUAAAUAAUUAGAAAAUUGAUAAAAUUAUUAAUUUUUUUUAGAAAAUUGAUUGAACUAGUCUGCAACAUUAAGUUUCAACAUAUCGUCCAAGGAUAGCCUAGCCAAGUUGGUAGCAAGAGAUUAAAUGUUCCAAUUUAAGGGGAUAUUCAUAGAUGUAAUCUGAAACAAAAAUGAAAUAAAAGUAAAAAUAAGCAAAUAAUGAAGUAAAAUCAUAAUCGAAUAAGAAUGCUAAGUUUUUAAAGAGGAGAGAAAUUACAAGUUAAGAUACGUUCAAAUUUCUUUGCAAACACACCCCUAAAAGAUUGCUAGGUUUGAACUCAAAAUAUUUCUUGAUGCUGCCUUAGUAGCUAUCUAACGCUUGGGGUCGGGAUCAAUACUUUAUUCAAAUAAAUGCUAAAUUAUCAAUAAAUUCUACUACAUGACUCUCUGCCUAUUGGAUGGAAAUUUGUAAAUUUAAUUCUGCCGAUUUUGUGAACUGAAAUUAUCUUUCGUUGUUAACUAGAAGUUAUAGCCUCAAGUUGCAAUAAAAUUUUGGCAAAUAGAGAUUGCAAAAUCCACCAGGAAAAUGCAGGGUGGCUUUUAUGUAUUUUAAUUCAGAUUGCUAUGUUGUUGCUACAUAACUGCCAUGUACCGAAUCAAAUGUAAACGCUUAAGGCUAUUUCUAGUAAAUAAUCUCCUAAAUUAAAAGAUGAAUUUGUUCCUACCUCCUUUUGGAGUUUUGGGUUCUGAUGCAGUGACUAUUCAAAUAUUGUUCUAAAAAGUUUAGAUACUUGACAUUCAAACUAUUAUGAAUAGUUAAUGGUCUUUACAUUGCUUGUAUUAUGAGGUCGGCAUGAGCCCUCAAUCAAAGAAGACACAAAGCCAUUGCAUUUGCAUUCAAGGGUAACAUAGGAGCCUAAAAUUUGCCACAAGAACAAAUAGAAACUACGGAAUAUACACUAUUGUGUUCAAAUUUCGUUCAAUUAAAAUAACGUCGUGGCACAUAUAUAAUUUAUGUUAUUAGAGAAAGUUUUUUAUGACACUAACGUACCAUGUUAUCAUACGUUUAUGCAAUAGAAUUGUAAUAUAUAUCCAUUUUGAAGUUGACCAACCAUGAAAGUGAGAGGAAACAAAAUUAAAACUUGGUGACACAAUAUAUUAUAUGGUCAAAUCGAGACUGUAAAUUUCUCUCCUAAGUUCUAACUGACAUUUUGCAAAGUCUAGGGGAUAUUUCUUAACUUUUAAAAUAUUUUGAACUUGUUUCCAAUUACACUGAACUUUGGGACACUUGUCAAAACUUUAUAAGUUCAUGAUUAAUCAUGAUAAAGAUAAAGAGCACGUGUCCCAGCUUAACACUUUUAGUCAUACGGAGCCUUCGACUUGGAGCCAAACCAGAAUCCUCUGUCUCAUUCUGCUCAUUGUUGACGUUAGAGUCAACUGUCUCUCUACUUAUUGAAACUUGAAAGACACCCAAAACAAAGAAACCAAAACUACAGCUUCAAAAAUGGCAGAAGAGAAACUCCAAGUUCCAAGAGUGAAACUUGGUACCCAAGGCCUCGAGGUAAACUACCCAUAUGUAAUUUUUUUUUUAAAAUCAAAUCCUGGAAAUUUGUUUUCUACAAUUGUGUGUUUUUCACGCUCUUACAGGUUUCAAAGUUGGGGCUUGGAUGCAUGAACCUGAGUUCUGGUUAUAGCUCUCCAGUCUCAGAAGAGGAUGGCAUCUCAAUGAUAAAACAUGCUUUCAGUAAAGGAAUCACUUUCUUUGAUACUGCUGAUGUGUACGGACAAAAUGCUAAUGAAAUUCUUCUGGGAAAGGUUAGAGUCAUUUCUUUGAAUUCUCUUACCUCUUAUAUAAUUCGGACAUAGGUCAAGUGAUAACUUAAGAAUCACAGUCCUGAUGAAAUAUGUUUGUUUAGGAAUUGGUGAAACCUCGUCGGAUUUUUUUGAAUCUUAUUGAAUUAAAAAAAAAAAAAAAAAGAGUACUCCUUCGAUUUCAGGCCUUCAAGAUGUUGCCCAGAGAAAAGGUACAAAUAGCCACAAAGUUUGGGGUUGUAGGACUAAGAGAUAAUGGCGUGAUCGUGAAGGGCACCCCUGAUUACGUGCGCUUGUGUUGUGAAGCUAGCCUGAAGCGACUUGAUGUGGAUUACAUUGAUCUAUAUUAUCAACAUAGAGUGGACACAUCAGUCCCCAUAGAGGAAACCGUGAGCGAUUUUUUUUUUUUUUUUUUUUUUUUUUUGGGCUAUCUGAAUUGUAGAGUUCUGUCCCAAAUUGCAAAAUUUAAAGAAUUAUUUUAGAAACUCUAUUACUUGUCAUGCUAUAGAUUGGUGAAAUGAAGAAGCUGGUGGAAGAGGGUAAAAUCAAGUACAUUGGAUUAUCUGAGGCCAGCCCAGACACAAUUAGGAGAGCACAUGCUGUUCAUCCCAUCACAGCUGUACAAAUGGAAUGGUCCCUCUGGACUCGUGAUAUUGAGGAAGAGAUAAUACCCCUCUGCAGGUUUGUUCUUCUUUCAGUGAAUACUAUCCGCAUUAGUCUUUUCUUCUACAGGCCUUUGAAGAGUGUCUAAGGACCUAUUUAUUUGUUCCAAUCUAGUAUUUUGUACCUAAUGUUUGUAGAAUUUUUUAAAUUUAAUUGCAUGCAUAGAGUAGAUUAGAUUUUCUGUGCAAGUGUAUGCUAAUAAAUACAAGGCUGCCCUUCUGAUACAUUGAGGUGGGCAGGGAACUCGGCAUUGGAAUAGUUCCAUACAGUCCUCUUGGUCAUGGAUUUUUUGGUGGCAAAGCUGUUGUGGAGAGUGUACCUGCAGAUAGCUUUUUGGUACUUUUUCCGAUCAAUGUUUAUCCGCAUCAUUUUGUUUCCUAAGUCAGUACUAUAUAAAAUGUUUUAAACUAGCAAAAGUAGUCUUACAGUUUCUUUAACUGUUUUAUAUAUCGUCGUACAUAUGAAAAUGAUACAUGUAUUUGUUUUAUAAGCAUUUUCUUCCUAGGUUCAAAGGAGAGAACCUGGACAGGAACAAGAGUAUUUAUUUUCGCAUAGAGAACCUUGCCAAAAAGUACAAUUGCACUUCUGCUCAACUAGCCCUAGCAUGGGUUCUUGGACAGGGGGAUGAUGUCGUACCUAUUCCCGGUAACUUCUUUCUUUCGAGUUUUUGAUUCAUGUAUUACCUUGAAGAAGUAUAUAGAGUUUAAAAAACCCAGCGGAUAAAAAGAUAUUACCAGCAAUAUUACUUACUGUUAAGUUGCUUCAAUUUUCAGGGACAACUAAGAUUAAAAACCUUGAUGACAAUAGUGACUCCUUGAGGAUUAAACUUACAAAAGAGGAUCUGAAAGAAAUUUCUGACGCUGUGCCCAUAGAAGAGGUAGCAGGAGACAGAGACCCGGAAGGCUUUGAUAAAGCAUCGUGGAAGUUUGCAAACACACCUCCAAAAGACUGCUAGGUUUCAACUUAAAAUAGUUCUUGAUGCUGCCUAUCUUACUUGGAGCUGGGAUACAAUAGUUUAUUCAAAUAAUGGCAGAUAAAUGCCAAAUUAUCUGUACAAUCUACUACUUGGCUAUCUGCCUAUUUGAUGUUAAACUUUGAUUAUUACGAUCUACUAUAUGUUUGGAAAUUUAGCAUGGCCAAUUUGUGAAAUGAAAAUACGCAUGUUUGAACUUUUCUAAGUUAAAGCUGAAUUCCAAGUUACUAUAAAAUCUUGCCAACUCGCUUUCCUUGAAAAUAAAGAUUGGAAAUAUCCAAAUUUUGGAUUGUAACAAUUUUCCUGGAUUUUACUUCAUCAUUGUAUAGAUAUAUGUUGAAAAAAUUUCAGCCUUUUUGAGUUCCAUGAAUGGGACAUGAAUGAAAUCUAUGAACCAUAUUUUAGCUCAAGCAGUUUCUCAACAAGACCUGGAGGAUACUUUAUUGAAAAUAUAGUUUCUCAACAUAAUACAUUGUCACUGCAACUUGAGUGGUUAAAUGAUAAAAGGUGAAUAUGUGUUGUUCAGAAAUAAGAAUAAUUGCAUAAAUUGUGAAGUUAACAAUGCUAUUUAGGAGGCGAAAUUGACACAUUGAUAAACUUUCAAAUUCCUUUACCAACAAGGCACCAGUGGUCCAGCGGUAGAAUCCCCCCCCCCCCCCCCCCGGCGCGGGUAUGGUAAUCAGCCCCAACGUCGAACAAUUUUUAUUGUUGCCUUCUUUUGAUUAGUUCCAAAUCCUGCUUUAUUUUGUUAGUCCAUGGUACAAAGUACAAAACAGCAACACCAGUAACUCUCUUACGCCCUCCUUUAAUAAGGAUUAAGCUAAGCUACAAAGAGAGGAAAAGCUAACAGCUUUUCCAAAGAUGGCAGAAAAGAACAAAAUCCAAAUUCCAACAGUGAAAUUUGGAUUUCCGAUUUGCAGUUUUAAUUUUUUUCUCUCUGUUUUUUUUUUUCCUUUAAUGCUGAUAAUUCGUUUUCUCUAAUGAUGGUCAGUGGGCCGUGCCGGCACCAAACGUCGGCCCACACAGGCUCGUGGGCUGGCACCGCACGGCCCACUAAUUUGGUGGGUCAUGUUUAUUUUUUUUAUAAGAGUCCGGCACGGCCCACCAGCCUAAUAAUAACAAUAAUAAUAAUAAUAAUAAUUUCAUAGAUCAUAGUAAUAAUUAAUGAAAAAUAAAAUUACAAUUUUAGAAUAACAAUUACAUCUAAUUUUAUUUGAACUACUAAUAUUAUAAUUGCACAUAAACUCUAUUGAAUGAAAAUGUAAUUUUUAAUUUAUCAUAAAAAUAUUUUGUUCAUAAUUUUAUUUUUUUGUGUAUAAAUAUGAAAAAUAUUUCAUUCACAAAUGAAACAUAUCUCCAUUAACUAUUAACUAAGUUAUGAUUUCAUAAAUGAAAUAUUAAUGUCGUAAAAUUUUUUAUUUAUCAUUUAUAAAAUCAUGAUAUUUAUUUAUCCAUUUAAUAAAUUAUAAACAUAAAAAAAAAUUAGAAUAUUUAUUUAAACUAGGACUUAAAUUAAUUUUAAAAAGCCUAUGCUAAAAAAAUAUAUUAAAAAAUUUAAUUUCAAGAUAUUUAUAAAAUCAUGAUAUUUUAUAUUUAUUUUUCAUUAAAAAAUUUUAUUUUGAUAUACUUUGACCCACGGGCCGCGUGCUUAGCCCACUAAUGAAGCGUGCUUAUUACGUGCCUUUUUCGCGUGCCGUGCUUUGGCCCAUAUUUAAUCGUGCUGUGCUUUUAAGACCCGCGUGCCUAAAAUUCUAGGCUCGGCACGACCCACGUGCAUGUCAUGCCGUGCCUCGUGCCCUACCGAAACGUGCUCGUGUUGUGCCGUGUCUUGUGCCACCCGGCCCAUUUGUCAUCUCUAGUUUUCUCUGACUGUGUUUUUUUGCUUUCACAGGUUUCAAAGUUGGGGUUUGAAUGCAUGAGCCUAAGUGGAGGUUACAGUUCUCCCGUCUCUGAAGAGGAUGGCAUCUCAAUAAGAAAGCAUGCUUUCAACAAAGGAAUCACUCUUUUUUUUUUUUAACUAAUUAAGCAUCAGGUUACUGUAUUACAUAGACAUUUACAAUUGCUAUGACAGUAGAUCAUUACACUGAUAUUUACAAUUAAAUAUAUAAUUGGGACUUACAUUAUUACAUUAUUAAUUUUAUGAAAUACAUGCCAAACAAAUAAUCCUUAUGGAAGAACGGUGUCUUUACUCCACUCGCAUUUCAAAAUGGAGAAAUACUUCACAAAUAAUUUUCACAAAAUUAUGUUUAAUUGAGGGAUGUUGAGUUCAUGGGGAUUCGAACCAUUGCCCUCAUAGUUAUGCUUAACUUUAAAGGCCAAUGGUUCACCACUGGGCUAAAGCCCAAGUGGCAGGAACCACUUUCUUUGAUACUGCUUAGUGCUGAUAGAUAUGGACCUUACACUAACGAAAUUCUUCUUAGAAAGUUAAUAAUUAUGAAAAUGGCAUAAAAUGAAAUUAUCUUAUCAUGGAAUAACAUUUUAAAAGAAAAUCCAAAAUCCAAAUAGCUUAUAUUUAUGUUAAAAUUCUAAAUAAAAAAAUCAUAAAUUAGUAACUAAAUUAACUUAAUAAGAAUAACAUUGUCGUAUUACACACAAAAAAAAAAUCAUUUUGAUGAAUAUUUAAUGUUUGUAAAAUAAAUUAAAUUGAUUAGGGCAAUAUGGACUUUUUAUUAUAAAAUAACCUAAAUUGUUAGGGAAAUAAUUAACUGUAGCAUUGUUAAAUUUAAAGGGGUAAGUAGUAUUUCUAACUUAUUGAGUUAUUUCCAUAAUAAUAACCUAAAUAUGUUUGUUUAAGGUUUUGGCAAAUAGCUACUCUUAGACAUUACUAAGAAUAUCUGAAGAUGAAAAUCAAAUCACUGUUAAAAUUACCCCUGAGAAGCCACGAAGUUUGGGACUACAGAAAUAGAUACCCCUGAGUAUGUGCUCUGCCUUGUUGUGAAGCAAGCUUGCAGCACCUUGAUUUGAUUAUUAAUUGGCUUGACUUCCCUCUAAUUUUGGAUAAUUUCUUUAUAUGCUUUUCACUAAAAACAAAUAAAUUUACAAAGAAUACAUGCAUAGAUAACUUUCUUUCAAAUUUAAAAUGAAAAAUAAAUUGCGAAAAGAAAUUGUGAAUCUGAUGAUUCUUUUAAUAAAAAAAUUUACUGAUUAUAUGGUCAAAUCGAGACUGUAAAUUUCUCUCCUAAGUUCUACAUGACAUUUUGCAAAGUUUAGGGGAUAUUUCUUAACUUUUUAAAUAUUUUGAACUUGUUUUCAAUUACACUGAACUUUAGGACACUUGUCAAAACUUAUAAGUUCAUGAUUAAUCAUGAUAAAGAUAAAGAGCACGUGUCCCAGCUUAACACUUUUAGUCAUUCUGCUCAUUGUUGACGUUAGAGUCCACUGUCUCUCUACUUAUUGAAACUUGAAAGACACCCAAAACAAAGAAACCAAAACUACAGCUUCAAAAAUGGCAGAAGAGAAACUCCAAGUUCCAAGAGUGAAACUUGGUACCCAAGGCCUCGAGGUAAACUACCCAUAUGUAAUUUUUUUUUUUUAUCAAAUCCUGGAAAUUUGUUUUUCAUGGUCUUACAGGUUUCAAAGUUGGCGCUUGGAUGCAUGAACCUGAGUUCUGGUUAUAGCUCUCCAGUCUCAGAAGAGGAUGGCAUCUCCAUGAUAAAACAUGCUUUCAGUAAAGGAAUCACUUUCUUUGAUACUGCUGAUGUGUACGGACAAAAUGCUAAUGAAACUCUUCUGGGAAAGGUUAUGGUCAUUUCUUUGAAUUCUCUUACCUCUUAUAUAAUUCAGACAUAGGUCAAGUGGUAACUUAGGAACCACAGUCCUGAUGAAAUAUGUUUGUUUAGGAAUUGGUGAAUAAUUACUUUUGUAUCAUAGAAGGGAAACCUUGUCAGAAUUUUUAGAAUUUUAUUGAAUUAAAAAAAAAAAAAAAGAGUACUCCUUCGAUUUCAGGCCUUCAAGAUGUUGCCCAGAGAAAAGGUACAAAUAGCCACAAAGUUUGGGGUUGUAGGACUAAGAGAUAAUGGCGUGAUCGUGAAGGGCACCCCUGAUUACGUGCGCUCGUGUUGUGAAGCUAGCUUGAAGCGACUUGAUGUGGAUUACAUUGAUUUGUAUUAUCAACAUAGAGUGGACACAUCGGUCCCUAUCGAGGAAACCAUGAGUGAUAUUUUUUCUCCCGGGCUAACUAUCUGAAUCGUAAAGUUCUGUCUUAAAUUACAAUAUUUAAAGAGUUUUUUAGAAACUAUAUUCCUUGUCAUGUUAUAGAUUGGCGAAAUGAAGAAGCUGGUGGAGGAGGGUAAAAUCAAGUACAUUGGUUUGUCUGAGGCUAGCCCAGACACAAUUAGGAGAGCACAUGGUGUUCAUCCCAUCACAGCUGUACAAAUGGAAUGGUCCCUCUGGACUCGUGAUAUCGAGGAAGAGAUAAUACCCCUCUGCAGGUUUGUUCUUCUUUCAGUGAACACUAUCCACAUUAGUCUUCUCUUUUACAGUCCUUUGAAGAGUGUCUAAGGACCUAUUUACCUUUUCCAAUCUAGUAUUUUGUGUCUAAUGUCUGUAGAAUUUUAAAAAAAAUAAUUGCUUGCUUAGAAUAGAUUAGAUUUUCUGUGCAAGUAUAUGCUAAUAUAUACAAGGCUGCUUUUCUUAUACAUUGAAGUGGGCAGGGAACUUGGCAUUGGAAUUGUUCCAUACAGCCCUCUUGGUCGUGGGUUUUUCGGUGGCAAAGCUGUUGUGGAAAGUGUACCCGCAGAUAGCGUUUUGGUACUUUUUUCAUAAAUGUUUAUCCACAUCAAUUUGUUUCCUAUGUAGUGUAUAAAUGUUUUAAAAUAGCAACAGUAGUUUCCAGUUUCCUUUAAUGCUAAUGUUUUAUAUAUCAUAAUACAUAUUAAAAUGAUGCAUAUGUUUGUUUUAUAAGCAUUUUUUUCCUCGGUACAAAGGAGAGAACCUGGACAGGAACAAGAAUAUUUAUUUUCGCAUAGAGAAUCUUGCCAAAAAGUACAAAUGCACUUCUGCUCAACUAGCCCUAGCAUGGGUUCUUGGACAGGGGGAUGAUGUCGUACCUAUUCCUGGUAACUUACUUUCUUUUGAGUUUGUGAUUCAUGUAGUGCCUUGAAGAAGUAUAUAGAGUUUAAAAAACCCAGCUGAUAAAAAUGAUAUUACCAGCAAUGUUACUUACUGUUAAUUUGCUUCAAUUUUCAGGGACAAUAUUGACUCCUUGAGGAUUAAACUUACAAAAGAGGAUGUGAAAGAAAUUUCUGACGCUGUGCCCAUAGAAGAGGUAGCAGGAGACAGAGACCCGGAAGGC